This is a long non-coding RNA of Epinephelus moara (kelp grouper), 337 nucleotides long. RefSeq lists it as uncharacterized. The record is from RefSeq and is a predicted model, not a curated record. Lineage: Eukaryota; Metazoa; Chordata; Actinopteri; Perciformes; Serranidae. The transcript is spliced from 3 exons.
UACUAAAGAAGCCACUCCACGUAUGAGAGCUUUCAACAUUCAGCGACUUCUACGAGACAUUGAGAGCAACACAACAGCCAUGCAGCAGAGCCGGACCGGCAUAGCUGCAGUGUUUCUUCUGAUGAAGCACUUCCAGGAGCAAGAGGAGUUUUGGCAGAUGCAACUGCGACAAAGCGAUCGAUUGAGACAGACAUGACACUCCCAUCCACGCCAAGACUGAUUAUGCUUGGGAACACAUUUCUCUCGGCCACAAAAUGGAAGGUGAGCAUCGAAAGGAGGGUGGCCUAUGUUUUAGAGGAGCACCUGGGGUUUGCAGAUGCCCUGUCAGUGUUUUUUG